Molecule: ribosomal RNA, 691 nt
Filed under: Enterobacter sp. 23(2013)
Lineage: Bacteria; Pseudomonadati; Pseudomonadota; Gammaproteobacteria; Enterobacterales; Enterobacteriaceae
Description: bacterial SSU rRNA
Rfam family: Bacterial small subunit ribosomal RNA
Source: RNAcentral
AUGGCGGACGGGUGAGUAAUGUCUGGGAAACUGCCUGAUGGAGGGGGAUAACUACUGGAAACGGUAGCUAAUACCGCAUAACGUCGCAAGACCAAAGAGGGGGACCUUCGGGCCUCUUGCCAUCAGAUGUGCCCAGAUGGGAUUAGCUAGUAGGUGGGGUAACGGCUCACCUAGGCGACGAUCCCUAGCUGGUCUGAGAGGAUGACCAGCCACACUGGAACUGAGACACGGUCCAGACUCCUACGGGAGGCAGCAGUGGGGAAUAUUGCACAAUGGGCGCAAGCCUGAUGCAGCCAUGCCGCGUGUAUGAAGAAGGCCUUCGGGUUGUAAAGUACUUUCAGCGGGGAGGAAGGUGUUGUGGUUAAUAACCACAGCAAUUGACGUUACCCGCAGAAGAAGCACCGGCUAACUCCGUGCCAGCAGCCGCGGUAAUACGGAGGGUGCAAGCGUUAAUCGGAAUUACUGGGCGUAAAGCGCACGCAGGCGGUCUGUCAAGUCGGAUGUGAAAUCCCCCGGGCUCAACCUGGGAACUGCAUUCGAAACUGGCAGGCUAGAGUCUUGUAGAGGGGGGUAGAAUUCCAGGUGUAGCGGUGAAAUGCGUAGAGAUCUGGAGGAAUACCGGUGGCGAAGGCGGCCCCCUGGACAAAGACUGACGCUCAGGUGCGAAAGCGUGGGGAGCAAACAGGAUUAG